GAAUCUCUUCGGGUGCUAAUCAAAUGGCCGCUGUAAGGGAUCUCCACAAAGCCACGAAGAAGCCAGGCCUUUCCGAGACUGUAACCGCUGUGCAGAUAGCGCCGAUCCCUGGGUGUACUGAGGUCUUCGUGAGAUUCAGGGCUAGGACUCGUGUGGCUGUGUCAUGUUCCGAAUGAAGCUUAAAAGGUGAUCUUUGAGAACUGAAGACUUGAGACCCCUCCAUGGGCCCAGGGGCUGCCAACACUAAUAAUUUCAGAGACUUAGAAUCUGAGGAGAAUCUCCAAUCUAAGGGGAAACGGAAGAGGGUCAGGAAAGAGAAGGGGCAAGCUUAAGUGACUCAGAAUCCAAGAAGCAAGUCUCAUAGGAGAGCUGCGAUCGAGGUUACCAUACAGUAUCCAAUCGUCUCAACCUUCCCAUCCAUACUUCCAUGCUGUCUUUCCUCUGAAUGCAAGGAAAACCGGUUACACAAACGCUGACAAAAGAAUGUCAGACUUGAAUGGAAAUUCGGAGCAGUACCCAUCUGGUCCAUACAGCGAACUCCCAGUGAGCACCACGGCAAUGUAACUAAUUCAUGUUUCCCUCUUGGCAGUGCGGGAAAGGCAGCAAAGAGCCAAGUUUUGUAUCUUAACAGUUCUUUAGUUAAGAGGCACACGCUAUUUUGCAUUCUUCCCUACUUUUGAUAAUUUUUGGC
Molecule: long non-coding RNA, 691 nt
Filed under: Homo sapiens (human)
Lineage: Eukaryota; Metazoa; Chordata; Mammalia; Primates; Hominidae
Description: non-protein coding lnc-RNF145-6:2
Source: RNAcentral